GACAGAGGUGCCGAGCGUUAGGCGGAAUCACUGGGCUUAAAGCGUGUGUAGGCGGGCCGUUAAGUGCCCCGUGAAAUCCCCCGGCUCAACCGGGGAACGGCGGGGCAUACUGGCGGCCUUGAGCCACUUAAGGGCAGACGGAACAAGCGGUGGAGCGGUGAAAUGCGUAGAUAUCGCUUGGAACGCCGACGGCGAAAGCAGUCUGCUGGGGGUGUGCUGACGCUGGAGACACGAAAGCCAGGGGAGCAAACGGG
RNAcentral lists this ribosomal RNA (254 nucleotides) under uncultured bacterium. Its description in RNAcentral is "partial 16S ribosomal RNA". It matches the Rfam family "Bacterial small subunit ribosomal RNA", at positions 524 to 776 of the family's 1533-position model. The record is from RNAcentral.